Molecule: long non-coding RNA, 348 nt
Filed under: Nicotiana benthamiana
Lineage: Eukaryota; Viridiplantae; Streptophyta; Magnoliopsida; Solanales; Solanaceae
Description: long non-coding RNA (NBEN_LNC026787)
Source: RNAcentral
UGCAAACUCUAGUGUGUCUUCAAGAUUGGCUUCGAAAUGAAAUAUUAAAACAACCCAUUUAUUCAUCAGCAAUUCUUUUUCUGAAACUCUUCACUUCUGUGCUUUACAUGUUAAUGGUUUGUGUUCUAUUCUAACUGAAUACAAUUCCCACAACCUUCUCAUGGCAUUGCUGACUUUGUACAGCUUACUGGCCUUUGUAAAAACAUUAAAGUAUCUACAUAGUUGAUGUUAUAUUUUUUUCCUAUUUUGGUUUCAUGAUCCCAUGCCUUUAUUUUAAAAUAGUACUCAGUCCUUUCCUUACUGUUCACCUGAACUGAAACCAUGUCUUUAAAUCUUAUAAGAAGCUCU